CCUACGGGUGGCUGCAGUGGGGAAUCUUCCGCAAUGGGCGAAAGCCUGACGGAGCAAUGCCGCGUGAGUGAAGAAGGCCUUCGGGUUGUAAAACUCUGUCCUUAUCGAAGAGAGGUAGGUAUGUGAAUAAUGUACCUAUAGGACGGUAGAUAAGGAGGAAGCCCCGGCUAACUACGUGCCAGCAGCCGCGGUAAUACGUAGGGGGCGAGCGUUGUCCGGAAUCACUGGGCGUAAAGGGCGCGUAGGCGGUUUAAUAAGUCAGUGGUGAAAACUGAGGGCUCAACUCUCAGCCUGCCACUGAUACUGUUAGACUUGAGUAUGGAAGAGGAGAAUGGAAUUCCUAGUGUAGCGGUGAAAUGCGUAGAUAUUAGGAGGAACACCAGUGGCGAAGGCGAUUCUCUGGGCCAAGACUGACGCUGAGGCGCGAAAGCGUGGGGAGCAAACAGGAUUAGAUACCCGGGUAGUC
Molecule: ribosomal RNA, 466 nt
Filed under: Salmonella enterica subsp. enterica serovar Anatum
Lineage: Bacteria; Pseudomonadati; Pseudomonadota; Gammaproteobacteria; Enterobacterales; Enterobacteriaceae
Description: bacterial SSU rRNA
Rfam family: Bacterial small subunit ribosomal RNA
Source: RNAcentral